AGUGAACGCUGGCGGCAGGCCUAAUACAUGCAAGUCGAACGGCAGCACAGCAGAGCUUGCUCUGUGGGUGGCGAGUGGCGGACGGGUGAGGAAUACAUGGGAAUCUGCCCAGUCGUGGGGGAUAACGUAUGGAAACGUACGCUAAUACCGCAUGCGCCCUACGGGGGAAAGCCGGGGACCGAAAGGCCUGGCGCGAUUGGAUGAGCCCAUGUUCGAUUAGCUAGUUGGCGGGGUAAAGGCCCACCAAGGCGACGAUCGAUAGCUGGUCUGAGAGGAUGAUCAGCCACACUGGAACUGAGACACGGUCCAGACUCCUACGGGAGGCAGCAGUAGGGAAUAUUGGACAAUGGGGGCAACCCUGAUCCAGCCAUGCCGCGUGAGUGAAGAAGGCCCUCGGGUUGUAAAGCUCUUUUGUCCGGAAAGAAAAGCAUCUGGUUAAUACCCGGGUGUUCUGACGGUACCGGAAGAAUAAGCACCGGCUAACUUCGUGCC
RNAcentral lists this ribosomal RNA (492 nucleotides) under uncultured bacterium. RNAcentral's name for it is "bacterial SSU rRNA". It matches the Rfam family "Bacterial small subunit ribosomal RNA", at positions 29 to 509 of the family's 1533-position model. The record is from RNAcentral.